GCCGAGCCCAUUUCGAACUUUGUUUGAAACACACAGUCAGUUGAAGCCGUUGAAGAACAGCGUGAAGAUGGAACCUGCUACUGAGCACAUCAACUCUUAAGUGUGUCCCUGGAAGAUCUACCAUCAACUUCCAGAACUGCAACUGCUAGUACUGUCAGAUGGUGAAUGCUACUCAGGCAAACACCAUUGUUACACCACUUUGAAGGAGAGCCUGGUCAUUUGGUCCCCUCAGCUUCUCCCUUUCUCAGUGAUAUGUUCAUUGUGGCUGGGAUAAUUGUGGGGCACUCUUUCCUUCAUGGAGGACCCUGCUUGUCUGGACUCUGUGAUGUGGUUGUCCAUACUGCUUCGUGGGAGCCCAGACACGGCUACAGUAAACCUGGAGGACUGUGCAG
Long non-coding RNA from Sardina pilchardus (European sardine), 392 nucleotides. RefSeq lists it as uncharacterized. The transcript is spliced from 3 exons. Lineage: Eukaryota; Metazoa; Chordata; Actinopteri; Clupeiformes; Clupeidae. The record is from RefSeq and is a predicted model, not a curated record.